This 484-nucleotide ribosomal RNA is filed under the name uncultured bacterium. RNAcentral describes it as "partial 16S ribosomal RNA". It matches the Rfam family "Bacterial small subunit ribosomal RNA", at positions 30 to 507 of the family's 1533-position model. The record is from RNAcentral.
AUUGAACGCUGGCGGCAGGCCUAACACAUGCAAGUCGAGCGGAUGAAGGGAGCUUGCUCCUGGUUUCAGCGGCGGACGGGUGAGUAAUGCCUAGGAAUCUGCCUGUUAGUGGGGGAUAACGUCCGGACACGGGCGCUAAUACCGCAUACGUCCUGAGGGAGAAAGUGGGGGAUCUUCGGACCUCACGCUAUCAGAUGAGCCUAGGUCGGAUUAGCUAGUUGGUGGGGUAAAGGCCUACCAAGGCGACGAUCCGUAACUGGUCUGAGAGGAUGAUCAGUCACACUGGAACUGAGACACGGUCCAGACUCCUACGGGAGGCAGCAGUGGGGAAUAUUGGACAAUGGGCGAAAGCCUGAUCCAGCCAUGCCGCGUGUGUGAAGAAGGUCUUCGGAUUGUAAAGCACUUUAAGUUGGGAGGAAGAGCAGUAAGUUAAUACCUUGCUGUUUUGACGGUACCAAAAGAAUAAGCACCGGCUAACUUCGUG